CCUACGGGAGGCAUCAGUGAGGAAUAUUGCUCAAUGGCCGGAAGGCUGAACCAGCCAAGCCGCGUGAAGGACGAAGGUGCCAAGCAUUGUAAACUUCUUUUGUCAAGGGACAAAAUCAGGCUCGAGAGCCUGACCGAGUGUACUUGAAGAAAAAGCAUCGGCUAACUCCCUGCCAGCAUCCGCUGUAAUACGGAGGAUGCGAACUUUAUCCGGUGUUAUUGGGUUUAAAGGGUGACUAGGCGUUCUGUUAAGUCAGCGGGAAAAGGACGGGGUUGAACCCCGGCUAGCCGUUGAUACUGGCUGUCGUGAGAUGUCGAGAGGUAUGCGGAAUGCGCAGUGUAGCGGUGAAAUGCUUAGAUAUUAGGAGGAACACCGGUGGCGAAGGCGGCUUACGGGACUGUAACUGACGUUGAGGCUCGAAAGCGUGGGGAGCAAACAGGAGUAGAUACCCGAGUAGUC
Molecule: ribosomal RNA, 459 nt
Filed under: uncultured bacterium
Lineage: Bacteria
Description: partial 16S ribosomal RNA
Rfam family: Bacterial small subunit ribosomal RNA
Source: RNAcentral